UUCAUACUGGAAUGAGGCCUUAUGAGUGC
This 29-nucleotide non-coding RNA is filed under the name Homo sapiens (human). Lineage: Eukaryota; Metazoa; Chordata; Mammalia; Primates; Hominidae. The record is from RNAcentral.